Molecule: ribosomal RNA, 807 nt
Filed under: Triticum aestivum (bread wheat)
Lineage: Eukaryota; Viridiplantae; Streptophyta; Magnoliopsida; Poales; Poaceae
Description: partial small subunit ribosomal RNA
Source: RNAcentral
AUGAAAUGGCAGUCGUUCCUCUCCACUUUUGUGCUUAACAAGAUGUGUGAGAUCAUAGCUAGUGGGGUGAGGAUUGACAAAGGCUUCGAGGAGGUGUACUUGAACCUUGUUGCAAAGCAGGUGUUCGACUUCUAUGGACAGGAGGUCACCUCGACCCAGGUGUACAACCAUCUGAGGAAGUGGAGAGCUAGGUGGAUCACCGCGUCCAAGCUUAGAGACCUCAAUGGUGCUUCAUGGGAUGAGGACAUGUGCUCGAUCCUUCUGGAGGCAGAGCACUACCAAGGCCACGUCGCGGCUCACCCCAAGGACGCAGAGUUCCCCAACACCCCUAUCCAGAACUACCACCAGAUGCAGCAGAUUUUCUCCUUCGGGCUGGCAACCGGCAAGCAUGCCAUGGGCUAUGGUCAGCCGCUGGGAUCACCGAUGUCGGAAAAGAGGAAGCAGGCAGGCUUCAUAGAGGAGGAGCUGAGCAUCUUCAGCAGCAUGACUGAGGCAGCGAAGGAGGUGGCCACCGCCAUUAGGGAGAGCAAGAGUGUGGACGUCCAUCCUAAGCUCUACAACGCUGUCAUGGAUCAGAUUGGCUUCAGCCCAGAGGCUCUCAUGGUGGCUCUCAGCCACCUGCUGGACAACAAAGCCCAGGGUGUUGGGUGGUAUAUACUAACCCCUCACGAUGAUCCUCGCGGUGAUCACGAACUUGCGGUGGGAAAGUGGUAUGUGGCGUUCGAAGGUAGGGUUCCAGGGGUUUACAGUUCAUGGGAAGGUUGCAACAAACAAGUUUCAGGGUACAACGACAGCAACCACAAAUGA